This 755-nucleotide ribosomal RNA is filed under the name uncultured bacterium. RNAcentral describes it as "bacterial SSU rRNA". It matches the Rfam family "Bacterial small subunit ribosomal RNA", at positions 60 to 809 of the family's 1533-position model. The record is from RNAcentral.
AGUCGAGCGGGGAAGGUUGCUUCGGUAACUAACCUAGCGGCGGACGGGUGAGUAAUGCUUAGGAAUCUGCCUAUUAGUGGGGGACAACAUUCCGAAAGGAAUGCUAAUACCGCAUACGCCCUACGGGGGAAAGCAGGGGAUCUUCGGACCUUGCGCUAAUAGAUGAGCCUAAGUCGGAUUAGCUAGUUGGUGGGGUAAAGGCCUACCAAGGCGACGAUCUGUAGCGGGUCUGAGAGGAUGAUCCGCCACACUGGGACUGAGACACGGCCCAGACUCCUACGGGAGGCAGCAGUGGGGAAUAUUGGACAAUGGGCGGAAGCCUGAUCCAGCCAUGCCGCGUGUGUGAAGAAGGCCUUUUGGUUGUAAAGCACUUUAAGCGAGGAGGAGGCUCCUUUAGUUAAUACCUAAAGAGAGUGGACGUUACUCGCAGAAUAAGCACCGGCUAACUCUGUGCCAGCAGCCGCGGUAAUACAGAGGGUGCGAGCGUUAGUCGGAUUUACUGGGCGUAAAGCGUGCGUAGGCGGCUUUUUAAGUCGGAUGUGAAAUCCCUGAGCUUAACUUAGGAAUUGCAUUCGAUACUGGAAAGCUAGAGUAUGGGAGAGGAUGGUAGAAUUCCAGGUGUAGCGGUGAAAUGCGUAGAGAUCUGGAGGAAUACCGAUGGCGAAGGCAGCCAUCUGGCCUAAUACUGACGCUGAGGUACGAAAGCAUGGGGAGCAAACAGGAUUAGAUACCCUGGUAGUCCAUGCCGUAAACGA